GCGAACGCUGUCGGCAGGCCUAACACAUGCAAGUCGAACGAACCCUUCGGGGUUAGUGGCGGACGGGUGAGUAACACGUGGGAAUAUGCCUUUUGGUACGGAACAACGUCUGGAAACGGACGCUAAUACCGUAUGGUCCCUUCGGGGUAAAGAUUUAUCGCCAAAAGAGUAGCCCGCGCUGGAUUAGCUAGUUGGUGAGGUAAUGGCUCACCAAGGCGACGAUCCAUAGCUGGUCUGAGAGGACGAUCAGCCACACUGGGACUGAGACACGGCCCAGACUCCUACGGGAGGCAGCAGUUAGGAAUAUUGGACAAUGGGGGCAACCCUGAUCCAGCCAUGCCGCGUGAGUGAUGAAGGCCUUCGGGUUGUAAAGCUCUUUAGCCGAUGAUUAUAAUGACUGUAGUCGGAAAAUAAGCCCCGGCUAACUUCGU
Molecule: ribosomal RNA, 431 nt
Filed under: uncultured bacterium
Lineage: Bacteria
Description: bacterial SSU rRNA
Rfam family: Bacterial small subunit ribosomal RNA
Source: RNAcentral